Molecule: ribosomal RNA, 552 nt
Filed under: Triticum aestivum (bread wheat)
Lineage: Eukaryota; Viridiplantae; Streptophyta; Magnoliopsida; Poales; Poaceae
Description: partial small subunit ribosomal RNA
Source: RNAcentral
AAGCACAUCAAGGAGAGAAGAGGUCAAUGUUCACCAUAUGUUGCUAGAUGGGUGUAUUCACAUGGCAUACCAUUUAAUGCUCUUGACAAUGAUGAGUUUUGUCAAAUGUGUGAGGCCAUAGGCAAAUUUGGUCCUGGAUAUGAGCCUCCUACUCAAUAUGAGCUUAGGGAGAAGUUGUUGAGUGAUGAAUAUGCAAGGACCAAGAGUUUGUUAGAUGAACGUGAGAAGGAGAAGAUAAAGCUUGGGUGCACCAUCAUGACAGAUGCAUGGACGGACAUGAAGAGGAGGAGCAUAAUGAAUUUGUGCAUGCAUUGUAGUGGGGGGACAAGUUUUCUCAAAUCAAAGGAAACAUCUGAUGUGUCACAUACAAGUGAAGUCAUAUUUCAGCUAGUGGACAGCACAAUUGAGGAGGUAGGGGCGGAGCAUGUGAUGCAAGUGGUGACCGACAAUGCUUCCAAUAACAUGGGAGCCAAGAAAAUGUUGCUUGAGAAGAGGCCGAAGAUCUUUUGGAGCUCUUGUGCAACUCACACUAUCAACUUGAUGCUCCAAUGA